Molecule: ribosomal RNA, 1983 nt
Filed under: Picea glauca (white spruce)
Lineage: Eukaryota; Viridiplantae; Streptophyta; Pinopsida; Pinales; Pinaceae
Description: eukaryotic LSU rRNA
Rfam family: Eukaryotic large subunit ribosomal RNA
Source: RNAcentral
GUAGAUCUUGGUGGUAGUAGCAACUAUUCAAAUGAAAGAGAACUUUGAAGACUGAAGUGGGGAAAGGUUCCAUGUGAACAUCACUUGGACAUGGGUUAGUUGAUCCUAAGAGAUGGGGAAGCCUUGUAUCAAGGGUGCACUAUGCACGAGCAUCGAAAGGGAAUCGGGUUAAUAUUCCUGAAACGGGACAUGGUGGCGGACGACAACGUUAGGAAAUCCGAAGACGUUGUUGGGGGCCCCGGGAAGAGUUAUCUUUUCUUUUUAACAGCUUUCCCACCCUGAAAUCGGCUCAACUGGAGAUAAGGUCCAGUAGAUGGAAGAGCAUCGCAUGUCUUGCGGUGUCUGGUUCACCCUCGGCGGCCCUAGAAAAUCUGGAGGACCGAGUACCAUCCAUGCCCGGUCGUACUCAUAACCGCAUCAGGUCUCCAAGGUGAACAACCUCUGGUCAAUAGAACAAUGUAGGUAAGGGAAGUUGGCAAAAUGGAUCUGUAACUUCAGGAAAAGGAUUGGCUCUAAGGGCUGGGCCUAGGGGUUUGUGUCCUCAACCCGUGGGCUGUCGGUAGUCUGCCCGAGCUGCUAUCGUGGCGAGGGCGGGUAGUCACAUGUUGAUUGGGCUACGGAUGUAGAAUGUCCUCUCGUGGGGGUUUUUCCCUAGGCGAUGAACAGUUGACUCAGAACUGGUACGGACAAGGGGAAUCCAACUGUUUAAUUAAAACAAAGCAUUGCGAUGGUCCCUAUGGAUGCUGACGUAAUGUGAUUUCUACCCAGUGCUCUGAAUGUCAAAGUGAAGAAAUUCAACCAAGCGCGGGUAAAUGGCAGGAGUAACUAUGACUCUCUUAAGGUAGCCAAAUGCCUCAUCAUCUAAUUAGUGACGCACAUGAAUGGGUUAACGAGAUUCCCACUGACCCUAUCUACUAUCUAGUGAAACCACAGCCAAGGGAAUGGGCUUGGAAAAAUCAGCGGGGAAAGAAGACCCUGUUGAGCUUGACUCUAGUCCGACUUUGUGAAAUGACUUGAGAGGUGUAGAAUAAGUGGGAGCCAUUUUUGGUGCAAGUGAAAUACCACUACUUUUAACGUUAUUUUACUUAUUCUGUGGGGUAGAGAUGGGGCAUUGCCCCUAUUUUUGGCCUUAAGACACGUUUCGACGGGUCGAUCCAGGAAAAAGACAUUGUCAAGUGGGGAGUUUGGCUGGGGCGGAACAUCUGUUAAAAGAUAGCGUAGGUGUCCUAAGAUGAGCUCAACGAGAACAUAAAUCUCAUGUGGAACAAAAGGGUAAAAGCUCAUUUGAUUUUGAUUUUCAGUACGAAUACAAACUGUGAAAGCGUGGCCUAUCGAUCCUUUAGACUUUCGGAAUUUGAAUCUAGAGGUGUUAGAAAAGUUACCACAGGGAUAACUAGCUUGUGGCAGCCAAGCGUUCAUAUCGUCGUUGCUUUUUUAUCCUUCAAUGUCGGCUCUUCCUAUCAUUGUGAAGAAGAAUUCACCAAGUGUUGGAUUGUUCACCCACCAAUAGGGAACGUGAGCUGGGUUUAGACUGUCGUGAUACAGGUUAGUUUUACCCUACUGAUGAACUACACCGUAAUAGUAAUUCAACUUAGUACGAGAGGAACUGUUGAUUCACACAAUUGGUCAUCGCACUUGGUUGAAAAGCCAGUGGCAUGAAGCUACCGUGUGUUGGAUUAUGACUGAAUGCCUCUAAGUCAGAAUCCAUGCUAGAAGCAAUGCUUGUCACUCCUCGACUGUAUCUUGACCUGCAGUAGGGGUGUCUCUUCGACACCCCCAGGGGCCCGUGUCACUUGCGAACCUCGGUCGGGAAGCGUCUCGGUCGAGGCAGCUUUGAAGUUCAAUUUUAAACGGUCGUUGAGAAGAAUCCUUUGCAGACAACUUAAAUAUGCGACGGGGUAUUGUAAGUGGCAGAGUGGCCUUGUUGCCAUGAUCCACUAAGAUUCAUCCCUUUGUCGCCUCGAUUCAGAGCCUAUGCUCAUA